Long non-coding RNA from Sinocyclocheilus rhinocerous, 191 nucleotides. RefSeq lists it as uncharacterized. The transcript has 2 exons. The record is from RefSeq and is a predicted model, not a curated record. Lineage: Eukaryota; Metazoa; Chordata; Actinopteri; Cypriniformes; Cyprinidae.
CUCUUUUCUCUGGAAUAGUCUGGUCAAAGCUGAAGUCACAGAAAGCAUUAGAGCGCUGGCAGCCAGACACAGAGGAGGAAUAUGAAGACUCCAGCGGAAACGUGGUCAACAAGAAGACUUAUGAGGAUCUGAAGCGACAGGGGCUUCUGUAGCACAACAAACAAGAUCUCUGAACACACAAAACACUCACA